GACGAACGCUGGCGGCGUGCUUAACACAUGCAAGUCGAACGGAAAGGCCCUGCUCUUGUGGGGUGCUCGAGUGGCGAAAGGGGGAGUAACACGUGAGUAACCUGCCCUUGACUUUGGGAUAACUUCAGGAAACUGGGGCUAAUACCGGAUAGGAGCUCCUGCUGCAUGGUGGGGGUUGGAAAGUUUCGGCGGUUGGGGAUGGACUCGCGGCUUAUCAGCUUGUGGGUGGGGGAGUGGCUUUCCAAGGCUUUGGCGGGUAGCCGGCCUGAGAGGGUGACCGGCCACAGUGGGACUGAGAUACGGCCCAGACUCCUACGGGAGGCAGCAGUGGGGAAUAUUGCACAAUGGGCGGAAGCCUGGUGCAGCAACGCCGCGUGCGGGAUGACGGCCUUCGGGUUGUAAACCGCUUUCGCCUGUGACGAAGCGUGAGUGACGGUAAUGGGUAAAGAAGCACCGGCUAACUACGUG
This 468-nucleotide ribosomal RNA is filed under the name uncultured bacterium. RNAcentral describes it as "partial 16S ribosomal RNA". It matches the Rfam family "Bacterial small subunit ribosomal RNA", at positions 28 to 507 of the family's 1533-position model. The record is from RNAcentral.